Molecule: ribosomal RNA, 279 nt
Filed under: uncultured Bacteroidales bacterium
Lineage: Bacteria; Pseudomonadati; Bacteroidota; Bacteroidia; Bacteroidales
Description: partial 16S ribosomal RNA
Rfam family: Bacterial small subunit ribosomal RNA
Source: RNAcentral
UACGGAAGGUCCAGGCGUUAUCCGGAUUUAUUGGGUUUAAAGGGAGCGUAGGCUGGAGAUUAAGUGUGUUGUGAAAUGUAGACGCUCAACGUCUGAAUUGCAGCGCAUACUGGUUUCCUUGAGUACGCACAACGUUGGCGGAAUUCGUCGUGUAGCGGUGAAAUGCUUAGAUAUGACGAAGAACUCCGAUUGCGAAGGCAGCUGACGGGAGCGCAACUGACGCUUAAGCCCGAAGGUGCGGGUAUCAAACAGGAUUAGAUACCCUGGUAGUCAAGGGCG